GAUGAACGCUGGCGGCGUGCCUAAUACAUGCAAGUCGAGCGGACAGAUGCGGCGCUUGCUCCUCUGACGUUAGCGGCGGACGGGUGUGUCACGCGUGUAUCACCUCCCUAUCAGUCUGGUAUCACUUCGGGACACCGGCGCUAAUCCCAUAUAAUCUAUUGCACCGCAUGGUUCAAUAGUGAAAGACGGUUUUGCUGUCUCUUCUCGCUGGAUCCCCGCCGCAUUAGCUAGUUGUUACGUUAACGGCUUACCAAGGCUACGAGGCGUAACCGACCUGAGAGAGUGAUCGGCGACACGGGAACUGGGACAGGGUCAAGAGGACUAAGGGAGGCAGCAGUAGGGAAUCGGACGCAGUGGGGGAAAGCCUGACGGAGCAACGCCGAGUGAGUGAUGGAGGUGUUGGGAGCGUAAAGACGUGUUAUGAGGGGAGAACAAAUGUGGAAGGAGCUAUGCACGGCGUGACGGUACCUAAUAAGAAAGCAACGGCUAACUACGUG
This 497-nucleotide ribosomal RNA is filed under the name uncultured bacterium. Its description in RNAcentral is "partial 16S ribosomal RNA". It matches the Rfam family "Bacterial small subunit ribosomal RNA", at positions 28 to 507 of the family's 1533-position model. The record is from RNAcentral.